Molecule: long non-coding RNA, 525 nt
Filed under: Olea europaea subsp. europaea
Lineage: Eukaryota; Viridiplantae; Streptophyta; Magnoliopsida; Lamiales; Oleaceae
Source: RNAcentral
UUUUUUUGUUAGCUUAGCAAAUGGAAAACUGUUGUGGAUGUCGAAAAUUUGAUAUUGUCACUCUCCAAUCAACCUUCAUUAACGACUUUAACGGUAUGGUGUGGCUUGUUCAGCUCUACCCCUGACCCCAAACACCCUACCAAAUUACCUUCCAAUUUAUAUGUUGUUCCGGAUUUCAAUUUCGAUCUCUAUUUUUCUUCUUAAACAAUGAGCUAUCCCCAUGUGGUGGAUUCUUAGAUUAAUCUACAAAACUGGGGUUUUCCCCUUGAAUAUGGUAUAUUUUUUGCCAUGAAAUAAUCUCCUGUUGGAUCAAUGGCGAAGAAAAGGAUUAUACCAAUUCAUGCCUUCAUUAUAUGGCUAUGCAAUAUCAAUGGCCAGCGACCCUCUCCUUCAUUGAUGAUCGCAUUCUCGCUAUUGUAAACAUCGUGAAACUCAUUUUCCCAGCAUCCAAACGUUUGUUCAACAAGAUUACGCUGCUGAAUUUUUGCCAAGAAAACGUCAACCGUGUUUUGAAGGCGCUUCCUG